UAUAUAUAUAUAUAUAUAUAUAUUGUAACAUGGCAGUGUUAUACCAUGUUAUUUAAUAUAUUCAAUACUAUAUAUUCAAUACUAUAUAUUCAGUAUACUGUUAUAAUUAUAAGAGGAAGACCUUAGGCAACCUUCCUCGCAUGAAUAAGCAAAUAUUUAGAGAGAUUAACGAACCACGGGAAACGCCUAGUACCACAAACCACGCAAACAGGACAUAGUUUUGUGGUUGAUAAACACUGCUAGAACUUGCUUUGACAAACAUAUUGCGUAGAGGAAAUUAGUCAUAGUUACAGAUUUCUUCCUCUAAAACUUAUUAUAAAAGCGGAGCACAACCUGAGAGUCGAGAGCGGAGAGUGAAGUGAGAAGAGCCAUUUAGGCUAAAUUACUUCAUAAGCCAACAAAGGCUGAAGUAUAUAAUUAAAAGGCUAGAUAAUUAAGCCUCGUCAAGUAAACUGAAGAACAUUGGAAUAUUGUGGAAAAAUUAUUAUUAAAGAAGACGGAAUACAAAGUAUAAAGAAUAAAGAUUCAAAGUUGUGCUCAGCUCAAACAAAUAGAGAGAUAAGUUGAUAUAUUAAGAUUACUAUAUUAUUAUAACAUAGAGACGCUAAUUCAUAUUGUUGAAAGUAAAUAAAAUAUAUAAAAGGUAUAAGGUUUCAUGCUAUUUGUGUUACGGUAGCGUUAAUAUAAUCACCCCGAAGCCUAAAGGUUGAAAAUAUACCUAAUUGGAAAAUAUAUUUGACGCAUAAAUAACGCACCAUAACAAUAUAUAUAUAUAUAUAUAUAUAUAUAUAUAUAUAUAUAUAUAUAUAUAUAUAUAUAUAUAUAUAUAUAUAUCACCCAAUUUUUAUGCACCACUUGAAAAUGCUGAAGAUGGAGAAGAUGCUGAAGACAGCUCAUAUCGUUCCCGAGGUAUCGGAAAUUUUGUAUUUUUGUGUCAUGACGUCACUAGUUGUAUGAAGAUUGCAGCGAAAGAACGAUCUGAUUUGGUCAUAGUGCAACUAUCUGAUUUGGUCAAAGUGCAACUAUCUGAUUUGGUCAUAGUGCAACUAUCUGAUUUGGUCAAAGUGCAACUUGUUAUAGCAACACACAAUUUACCAGGUCUUUCAUGUUUCGCUCGCUACUCUGGUUUAAAUAAACGGAUUACAAAGCCCAGUCGAAAUGUAAUCAAGACCCAACGUUUCGACACUCCAGUCUAGUGUCUUCAUCAGGGGUGAUCUAAAAUUGCAAUCGUGGCUUCUUAAAUCCCCAAGGGAUGACGUCACCUGCCAAUGAGAUGCAUGUAUUCCUCUGGCAAAUAGGCACCGUCGUCCCUAUUCAAAGCAUGAUGACUCAUAUUUAUAUGCCACACUUCUAGGCAAAGUCUUUGACCAUAGCGAUUGUUUGUGGUAAUUACUUUAGAGUUUUUCCACGCAAUCUCGUGUUUGGUGUAACAUACAUGUUCGGCUAAAGCUGCUUUUCCCUUGUCUAAAGUUGAAACAGCCUUUUGAUGUUCUUUUAUAGCCGUGUACCAAAUUGGCGUUUAGACUGACCCAAAUACUCUUUCUCGCAGUCACCGCAUGGUAUAGAAUAUACAGCAUGAGUUUUCUGAUUUGUUUUAACAGGAUUUUUUGGCUUUGCGAAAAUAUGGCCUAUAUAGAGUCAAAUAGGGUUUUAAGGCAACCUUAAUAUUACAAUCACUUAAGAUUCUCUUGAUUGGUUCUGUGACACCUUGAAUGUAUGGAACUAUUGCAUAAUAUGCAUCUCAUUGGCAGGUGACGUCAUCCCUUGGGUAUUUAAGAAGCCACGAUUGCAAUUUUAGAUGACCUCUGAUGAAGACACUAGACUGGAGUGUCGAAACGUUGGGUCUUGAUUACAAUUCGACUGGGCUUUGUAAUCUGUUUAUUUAAACCAGAGUAGGAUUUUUGUGAUUUUUAUUUAUUAAAAAGGGGGAAAGAAUUUCAACAAAAAAGAAAUUUUGAUUUUCGUUUAUUAAUAUCGCCUUUAAAUGAAUGAAAACUGUUUGUGAUGUCACUCUGGGUGUGCAUCCACACUGGGCAAGCUGUAAAGUUAGCUUGUCCACGGUGGGAAUCGAACCCGCGACCUUUGGGAUACUAGUCCAAUGCUCUGCCAACUGAGCUAUACGUGGUCAAGUCGGUUCGAGUUGAUGAUUGGACUAGUAUCCCAAAGGUCGCGGGUUCGAUUCCCACCGUGGCCAAGCUAACUUUUCAGCUUGCCCGGUGUGGAUGCACACUCAGAGUAACAUCACAAACAUCAUAUUCACCUGUCGGAGUACGUACCCUGAAUAAAAACUAUUGAAUAAAUGCCAUCCAUCAACUCAUUAAUAUUGUUUUAAUCAACAUAUUUUUAGGGUUGCUAAAAAAGAAAGAGCCUUAAACCUGGCCAAACCACUUGCAAUAUAAAGAAAGAAGGUUACUGGUUACAAGAAAGCUAUAAUCUCAAGUUUACAAUAAUUUCUUCAAAUGCAAAUUUAAUUGGGCAUUGAUCAAUAUGCAAAUUUAUUGAUAUAAUAAAGUAAGUUUAAUACCUAUAUCUAUAGAUGUCAAAUUGUAACCUAAACUCUAUAUAAUAACAGAUAUAUCUGGAACUGCCGAAUUAUUAUUAUACUUAAAAUUUAUACAUGCAAUAAUAGAACGAUAGGACUGAUAAGGCGCUCCUGGCCCAUUUUAUGAUUAUUAAAUAUGCCAAUUUUAUGCAUUGAUUGUUGUAAACUCAUGCAGUUUGGGAGGAUAAAAGAAAUAAAAAUAAAAUGACUCAUUCCAUC
RNAcentral lists this transfer RNA (2761 nucleotides) under Paramuricea clavata. The record is from RNAcentral. Lineage: Eukaryota; Metazoa; Cnidaria; Anthozoa; Malacalcyonacea; Plexauridae.